This 246-nucleotide ribosomal RNA is filed under the name uncultured bacterium. RNAcentral describes it as "partial 16S ribosomal RNA". It matches the Rfam family "Bacterial small subunit ribosomal RNA", at positions 1246 to 1500 of the family's 1533-position model. The record is from RNAcentral.
GCAGCUACCCAGCAAUGGGAUGCGAAUCUCGAAAGCCUGUCUCAGUUCGGAUUGGAGGCUGAAACCCGCCUCCAUGAAGUUGGAUUCGCUAGUAAUCGCGCAUCAGCCAUGGCGCGGUGAAUACGUUCCCGGGCCUUGUACACACCGCCCGUCAAGCCAUGGGAGCCGGGGGUGCCUGAAGUUCGUGACCGCAAGGAGCGACCUAGGGCAAAACUGGUGACUGGGGCUAAGUCGUAACAAGGUAGC